RNAcentral lists this ribosomal RNA (477 nucleotides) under uncultured bacterium. Its description in RNAcentral is "partial 16S ribosomal RNA". It matches the Rfam family "Bacterial small subunit ribosomal RNA", at positions 30 to 507 of the family's 1533-position model. The record is from RNAcentral.
AUUGAACGCUGGCGGCAUGCCUUACACAUGCAAGUCGAACGGUAACAGGUUAAGCUGACGAGUGGCGAACGGGUGAGUAAUACAUCGGAACGUGCCCAGUAGUGGGGGAUAGCCCGGCGAAAGCUGGAUUAAUACCGCAUACGACCUAAGGGUGAAAGGGGGGGCUCGCAAGACCUCUCGCUAUUUGAGCGGCCGAUGUCAGAUUAGCUAGUUGGUGGGGUAAAAGCUCACCAAGGCGAUGAUCUGUAGCUGGUCUGAGAGGACGACCAGCCACACUGGGACUGAGACACGGCCCAGACUCCUACGGGAGGCAGCAGUGGGGAAUUUUGGACAAUGGGCGCAAGCCUGAUCCAGCCAUGCCGCGUGCGGGAAGAAGGCCUUCGGGUUGUAAACCGCUUUUGUCAGGGAAGAAAUCCUUUGGGUUAAUACCUCGGGGGGAUGACGGUACCUGAAGAAUAAGCACCGGCUAACUACGUG